AGUGAACGCUGGCGGUAGGCCUAACACAUGCAAGUCGAACGGCAGCACAGAGGAGCUUGCUCCUUGGGUGGCGAGUGGCGGACGGGUAAGGAAUACAUCGGAAUCUACUCUGUCGUGGGGGAUAACGUAGGGAAACUUACGCUAAUACCGCAUACGACCUACGGGUGAAAGCAGGGGAUCUUCGGACCUUGCGCGAUUGAAUGAGCCGAUGUCGGAUUAGCUAGUUGGCGGGGUAAGGGCCCACCAAGGCGACGAUCCGUAGCUGGUCUGAGAGGAUGAGCAGCCACACUGGAACUGAGACACGGUCCAGACUCCUACGGGGGGCAGCAGUGGGGAAUAUUGGACAAUGGGCGCAAGCCUGAUCCAGCCAUACCGCGUGGGUGAAGAAGGCCUUCGGGUUGUAAAGCCCUUUUGUUGGGAAAGAAAUCCAUCUGGUUAAUACCCGGGUGGGAUGACGGUACCCAAAGAAUAAGCACCGGCUAACUUCGUGCCAGCCGCCGCCGUAA
Molecule: ribosomal RNA, 506 nt
Filed under: uncultured bacterium
Lineage: Bacteria
Description: partial 16S ribosomal RNA
Rfam family: Bacterial small subunit ribosomal RNA
Source: RNAcentral